Molecule: long non-coding RNA, 593 nt
Organism: Lampris incognitus (smalleye Pacific opah)
Lineage: Eukaryota; Metazoa; Chordata; Actinopteri; Lampriformes; Lampridae
Exons: 3
Source: RefSeq, a predicted model, not a curated record
UCUUCUUUUUGUCUUGUCAGCCUGUUUUUCGGUGUAUUCCCUCAUCUGAAUCGAGGGUCUCAGGGUUGUGACUGUGACUGUACAACUCGCCGGGACUAUGUUUUGAUCUGGGGCAACACAAACACAUCUGACUCAACUGGCUCAGCUUCCUUCUUUUCUUACCGAGUUCCUUACGCGAGGGUCUGGGAACAGGAUGUUGUGUUGCUGUGAAACCUACUUGGGCAAAUUUGUGAUUUGUGAUAUCGGGCUACACGAAUAAAAUGGACUUGACUUAUAACCUUCAUUACAGAAGCAGAAACAGCUUUAUUGGCCAUGUAUGGCUGCGCACACGAGGACCUUGACUCUGGUUCACAGCAGCUUCGAGCACUUGCAGACUCACACACAAAAAAAAAAGAAGAAGAAGAAAAAAAACCCAGAAGAACUAAAUGGAACGACAACAGGAAAUUGGGGGCAAGCAUUAUACUAUAUUGCAGACCUCCAUGUGUACACGGCUACAACUCUAUCAAUGGAACAGCACUCUUCCUCGAGGCAACUUGGCUCCUGGUAGGGUCACCCAGGGCAGAUAGCUCAAGGGGUAGGUUCCAGAUGAAGCG